GAGGAUAUAGCUCAAGUGGUAGAGUGCAUGUCUAGCACGCACAAGGUCCUGGGUUCAAUCCCCAGGACCUUUU
Molecule: transfer RNA, 73 nt
Filed under: Camelus bactrianus (Bactrian camel)
Lineage: Eukaryota; Metazoa; Chordata; Mammalia; Artiodactyla; Camelidae
Also listed under: 1 other name
Rfam family: tRNA
About the family: Transfer RNA (tRNA) molecules are approximately 80 nucleotides in length. Their secondary structure includes four short double-helical elements and three loops (D, anti-codon, and T loops).
Source: Rfam by way of RNAcentral